This 2610-nucleotide ribosomal RNA is filed under the name Escherichia coli. Its description in RNAcentral is "partial 23S ribosomal RNA". It matches the Rfam family "Bacterial large subunit ribosomal RNA", at positions 323 to 2915 of the family's 2925-position model. The record is from RNAcentral. Lineage: Bacteria; Pseudomonadati; Pseudomonadota; Gammaproteobacteria; Enterobacterales; Enterobacteriaceae.
UGUGUGUUAGUGGAAGCGUCUGGAAAGGCGCGCGAUACAGGGUGACAGCCCCGUACACAAAAAUGCACAUGCUGUGAGCUCGAUGAGUAGGGCGGGACACGUGGUAUCCUGUCUGAAUAUGGGGGGACCAUCCUCCAAGGCUAAAUACUCCUGACUGACCGAUAGUGAACCAGUACCGUGAGGGAAAGGCGAAAAGAACCCCGGCGAGGGGAGUGAAAAAGAACCUGAAACCGUGUACGUACAAGCAGUGGGAGCACGCUUAGGCGUGUGACUGCGUACCUUUUGUAUAAUGGGUCAGCGACUUAUAUUCUGUAGCAAGGUUAACCGAAUAGGGGAGCCGAAGGGAAACCGAGUCUUAACUGGGCGUUAAGUUGCAGGGUAUAGACCCGAAACCCGGUGAUCUAGCCAUGGGCAGGUUGAAGGUUGGGUAACACUAACUGGAGGACCGAACCGACUAAUGUUGAAAAAUUAGCGGAUGACUUGUGGCUGGGGGUGAAAGGCCAAUCAAACCGGGAGAUAGCUGGUUCUCCCCGAAAGCUAUUUAGGUAGCGCCUCGUGAAUUCAUCUCCGGGGGUAGAGCACUGUUUCGGCAAGGGGGUCAUCCCGACUUACCAACCCGAUGCAAACUGCGAAUACCGGAGAAUGUUAUCACGGGAGACACACGGCGGGUGCUAACGUCCGUCGUGAAGAGGGAAACAACCCAGACCGCCAGCUAAGGUCCCAAAGUCAUGGUUAAGUGGGAAACGAUGUGGGAAGGCCCAGACAGCCAGGAUGUUGGCUUAGAAGCAGCCAUCAUUUAAAGAAAGCGUAAUAGCUCACUGGUCGAGUCGGCCUGCGCGGAAGAUGUAACGGGGCUAAACCAUGCACCGAAGCUGCGGCAGCGACGCUGAUGCGUUGUUGGGUAGGGGAGCGUUCUGUAAGCCUGCGAAGGUGUGCUGUGAGGCAUGCUGGAGGUAUCAGAAGUGCGAAUGCUGACAUAAGUAACGAUAAAGCGGGUGAAAAGCCCGCUCGCCGGAAGACCAAGGGUUCCUGUCCAACGUUAAUCGGGGCAGGGUGAGUCGACCCCUAAGGCGAGGCCGAAAGGCGUAGUCGAUGGGAAACAGGUUAAUAUUCCUGUACUUGGUGUUACUGCGAAGGGGGGACGGAGAAGGCUAUGUUGGCCGGGCGACGGUUGUCCCGGUUUAAGCGUGUAGGCUGGUUUUCCAGGCAAAUCCGGAAAAUCAAGGCUGAGGCGUGAUGACGAGGCACUACGGUGCUGAAGCAACAAAUGCCCUGCUUCCAGGAAAAGCCUCUAAGCAUCAGGUAACAUCAAAUCGUACCCCAAACCGACACAGGUGGUCAGGUAGAGAAUACCAAGGCGCUUGAGAGAACUCGGGUGAAGGAACUAGGCAAAAUGGUGCCGUAACUUCGGGAGAAGGCACGCUGAUAUGUAGGUGAAGCGACUUGCUCGUGGAGCUGAAAUCAGUCGAAGAUACCAGCUGGCUGCAACUGUUUAUUAAAAACACAGCACUGUGCAAACACGAAAGUGGACGUAUACGGUGUGACGCCUGCCCGGUGCCGGAAGGUUAAUUGAUGGGGUUAGCGCAAGCGAAGCUCUUGAUCGAAGCCCCGGUAAACGGCGGCCGUAACUAUAACGGUCCUAAGGUAGCGAAAUUCCUUGUCGGGUAAGUUCCGACCUGCACGAAUGGCGUAAUGAUGGCCAGGCUGUCUCCACCCGAGACUCAGUGAAAUUGAACUCGCUGUGAAGAUGCAGUGUACCCGCGGCAAGACGGAAAGACCCCGUGAACCUUUACUAUAGCUUGACACUGAACAUUGAGCCUUGAUGUGUAGGAUAGGUGGGAGGCUUUGAAGUGUGGACGCCAGUCUGCAUGGAGCCGACCUUGAAAUACCACCCUUUAAUGUUUGAUGUUCUAACGUGGACCCGUAAUCCGGGUUGCGGACAGUGUCUGGUGGGUAGUUUGACUGGGGCGGUCUCCUCCUAAAGAGUAACGGAGGAGCACGAAGGUUGGCUAAUCCUGGUCGGACAUCAGGAGGUUAGUGCAAUGGCAUAAGCCAGCUUGACUGCGAGCGUGACGGCGCGAGCAGGUGCGAAAGCAGGUCAUAGUGAUCCGGUGGUUCUGAAUGGAAGGGCCAUCGCUCAACGGAUAAAAGGUACUCCGGGGAUAACAGGCUGAUACCGCCCAAGAGUUCAUAUCGACGGCGGUGUUUGGCACCUCGAUGUCGGCUCAUCACAUCCUGGGGCUGAAGUAGGUCCCAAGGGUAUGGCUGUUCGCCAUUUAAAGUGGUACGCGAGCUGGGUUUAGAACGUCGUGAGACAGUUCGGUCCCUAUCUGCCGUGGGCGCUGGAGAACUGAGGGGGGCUGCUCCUAGUACGAGAGGACCGGAGUGGACGCAUCACUGGUGUUCGGGUUGUCAUGCCAAUGGCACUGCCCGGUAGCUAAAUGCGGAAGAGAUAAGUGCUGAAAGCAUCUAAGCACGAAACUUGCCCCGAGAUGAGUUCUCCCUGACUCCUUGAGAGUCCUGAAGGAACGUUGAAGACGACGACGUUGAUAGGCCGGGUGUGUAAGCGCAGCGAUGCGUUGAGCUAACCGGUACUAAUGAACCGUGAGG